GGCUGGGUUGCAUGGAGGUUGGAAGAAGAAGGGGCUCUCUAAAAGGCAAAUGCUGUGAGCCAGGGCCUCUGCCCAUUAGGUGACUCUCAAAUGGGAGCAGAACAAAAUACUCCAACGUGCCCCAAACUAUGUUUUAGAGUAAAAAACUCCUCCAAAGGCAUGUAUAGGUCUGUCUGGAACGUGCAGCUAGCAAAGUUUAACAUCCAAAGCCUCAAGCAGUAUUCUCCGUAGUCUUUAAUUAGUAUGCGGUGAAAAAACAAAGACUUGAAUGCUUCCAACAAAAUUGCUUUGAAACCAUUUUAGGUUCAUAGCAAAAUUGCCGGCGUCCAGCACCGGAGCGUGGCC
This is a long non-coding RNA of Artibeus jamaicensis (Jamaican fruit-eating bat), 345 nucleotides long. RefSeq lists it as uncharacterized. Lineage: Eukaryota; Metazoa; Chordata; Mammalia; Chiroptera; Phyllostomidae. The record is from RefSeq and is a predicted model, not a curated record. The transcript has 3 exons.